UACGGAGGGAGCAAGCGUUGUUCGGAUUUACUGGGCGUAAAGGGCGUGUAGGUGGGUGGUUAAGUCAGAUGUGAAAUCCCUCAGCUCAACUGUGGAACUGCGGAGGAUACUGCUUGGCUUGAGUCCGGGAGAGGGUAGUGGAAUUCCCAGUGUAGCGGUGAAAUGCGUAGAUAUUGGGAGGAACACCGGUGGCGAAGGCGGCUACCUGGACCGGUACUGACGCUGAGGCGCGAAAGCUAGGGGAGCAAACGGG
Molecule: ribosomal RNA, 253 nt
Filed under: uncultured bacterium
Lineage: Bacteria
Description: partial 16S ribosomal RNA
Rfam family: Bacterial small subunit ribosomal RNA
Source: RNAcentral